AUACGAAAGGUGCAAGCGUUGUUCGGAUUUACUGGGCGUAAAGAGAGUGUAGGUGGUUUAUUAAGUCGGAUGUGAAAUCCCGGGGCUCAACCUCGGAACUGCAUUCGAUACUGAUAGGCUAGAGUUUGGGAGGGGUAAGCGGAAUUCCGUGUGUAGCAGUGAAAUGCGUAGAUAUACGGAGGAACACCUGAGGCGAAGGCGGCUUACUGGACCAAUACUGACACUGAGACUCGAAAGCGUGGGUAGCAAACAGGAGUAGAAACCCCAGUAGUCC
RNAcentral lists this ribosomal RNA (274 nucleotides) under uncultured bacterium. RNAcentral's name for it is "partial 16S ribosomal RNA". It matches the Rfam family "Bacterial small subunit ribosomal RNA", at positions 523 to 796 of the family's 1533-position model. The record is from RNAcentral.